GGUUGAUCCUGCCAGUAGUGAUAUGCUUGUUUCAAAGACUAAGCCAUGCAUGUGUAAGUUAAACCUUUUAUACAGAGAAACUGUAGAUGGCUCAUUAAAACAGUUGAUGUCUAUACAGUUCAACCUUAAAUGUAUAACUUCGGAAAUUCUGAAGCUAAUACAUGAAAAAUGACGAACUUUACGGAACGUCUAUUUUUAUUGCUUUGUGGAUCAGAACGCUUAUGCGUAAUUGAUUGAAAACGAAUAAAAAUUAGUAUCCCUUGUGGAAAAACUGUGUGAUCUCCUGACCUAU
Molecule: ribosomal RNA, 292 nt
Filed under: uncultured eukaryote
Lineage: Eukaryota
Description: partial 18S ribosomal RNA
Rfam family: Eukaryotic small subunit ribosomal RNA
Source: RNAcentral